UCGUGGUCGAGAGGGAAAUAACCCAGAUCGCCGGCUAAGGUCCCCAAUUCAUGCUAAGUGUGUAAGGAAGUCGGAUUGCUGUGACAGCCAGGAUGUUGGCUUAGAAGCAGCCACCAUUUAAACAGUGCGUAAUAGCUGACUGGUCGAGCAACCCGGUGCCGAGAAUGAUCGGGACUAAGCAUGAUACCGAAGCCGCGGAAUUGCCGUAAGGCAAUUGGUAGGAGAGCGUAGCUGUCGGCGUUGAAGGCGUACCGUAAGGAGCGCUGGAGCGGCAGCUAGUGAGAAUGCCGGUAUGAGUAACGAUAAAGCAGGUGAAAAUCCUGCUCGCCGUAAGCCUAAGGUUUCCUGGGGAAGGUAAAUCCGCCCAGGGUUAGUCGGAUCCUAAGUCGAGGCUGAAAAGCGUAGACGAUGGACAGCAGGUUAAUAUUCCUGCACUGCGCAUUGCGGUUGAACCGCGGAUGACGCAUCUACAAAGCGAAUCCACCGAUCAGACGUGGUGGUUGGGGCCCCGGUAACGGGGUCACUCGAGGCCGAUUUGUUGCCGAAGUUCGUGACGCAGGUGCCGAGAAAAGCUCCGCGGGGACAAUGUGCGCACCCGUACUAAAACUGACACAGGUAGGCGAGGAGAGUAUCCUCAGGCGCUCGAGAGAACCGUCCUUAAGGAACUAGGCAAAUUGACCCCGUAACUUCGGGAUAAGGGGUCCCUCCCGCAAGGCAUCUUAACUGACGCCAAGCGGAGGGCGCAGAGAAAUGGCUCUGGGAACUGUUUAUCAAAAACACAGGUCUCUGCUAACUCGUAAGAGGAUGUAUAGAGACUGACGCUUGCCCACUACAGGAAGGUCAAGGAAGUAGGUUAGCUCGCAAGAGCGAAGCUUGCAACUUAAGCCCCUGUGAAGGGCGGCCGUAACUAUGACGGUCCUAAGGUAGCGAAAUUCCUUGUCGGGUAAGUUCCGACGUGCAUGAAUGACGUAACGACUUGGGCACUGUCUCAACGAAGAACUCGGCGAAAUUGUAGCAACGGUGAAGAUGCCGUUUACCCGCAACUAGACGGAAAGACCCCGUGAACCUUUACUAUAGCAUGUCAUUGUGUUUUGGCAUAAGAUGUGUAGGAUAGGUGGGAGACGUGGAAUGGGAGACGCCAGUCUUUCAGGAGUCGCCAUUGAAAUACCACCUUUUUUGUGUUAGAAUUCUAACUGAUGCCCGUGAACCGGGAUCAGGACAGUGAUAUGUGGGUAGUUUGACUGGGGCGGUCUCCUCCGAAAGAGUAACGGAGGAGUCCAAAGGUAUCCUCAACAUGGUUGGUAAUCAUGUGAAGAGCGUAAAGGUAGAAGGAUACUUGACUGCGAGAGCAAUAAUUCGAGCAGAUGUGAAAGCAGGGCUUAGUGAUCCGGUGAUGCCGUGUGGAAGGGUCAUCGCUCAACAGAUAAAAGGUACUCCGGGGAUAACAGGCUGAUCGCCUCCAAGAGUUCGUAUCGACGAGGCGGUUUGGCACCUCGAUGUCGGCUCGUCGCAUCCUGGGGCUGAAGAAGGUCCCAAGGGUUUGGCUGUUCGCCAAUUAAAGCGGCACGCGAGCUGGGUUUAGACCGUCGUGAGACAGGUCGGUCUCUAUCUGUUGUGGGUGUAGGAAACUUGAGGAGAAUUACCCCUAGUACGAGAGGAUUGGGGUGGACGUACCGCUGGUGUACCAGUUGUCAUACCAAUGGCACAGCUGGGUAGCUACGUACGGAAUAGAUAAGCGCUGAAAGCAUAUAAGCGCGAAGCGGACUUUAAAACUAGGUUUCCCGAUAGAGACCACAGAGACGAUGUGGUAGAUAGGUCGGAUGUGUAGAGACAGUAAUGUAAGAGCUAACCGAUCCUAAUAACUCGAAAGACUUAUGU
This 1878-nucleotide ribosomal RNA is filed under the name bioreactor metagenome. RNAcentral's name for it is "bacterial LSU rRNA". It matches the Rfam family "Bacterial large subunit ribosomal RNA", at positions 1005 to 2925 of the family's 2925-position model. The record is from RNAcentral.